AUCUCACUGAUAUGUAGAAUUUAAGAAGCAAAACGAAGGGUCAUAGAGAAGAAAGAAAAAAAUGAUAUCAGAUGGAAUCAAAGAGGGAGAUAAACCAUAAAAGACUCUUAAUCAUAGGAAACAAGCUGAGAGUUGCAGACGAUGAGGGUUGAGGGGAGAGAGUACUCAGUGAUAGACAGUGAGGAGGCCUGCGAUUUAAUGAGCAGUGGGUAUUAUAUAAGCUGCUGGAUCCCCAACUAACAAUAUGCUAUAUGGAAGUUAUUCAGUUUAAAUCGAACAUAAUAAAAAUGCUUAAGAUGAAAAAAUAUACAUGAGGAAGCCCAGCAUUCUUUGAAAAAUCUCUAAAUAUAUUUUAAUUAAAAAUAAGAAGUCCCAUGAUUCUUAAGCAUCAUGAUGAGAUGUUAAUGGAUGCAGCUCAGCUACUUAGUGACCCUGAAAGGGCAGAGCCUGGACAAGGGAGACGCUGGGGUCACAGUGGACAAACCUGGCAAGGACCCCCUUAAGCAGAGAUCGCGGCAGGCAUCCCCAGGGAGGCCCCAUGGAAGUCACGUGUCCCUGAAAAGGUGCCAUGAGCCGGGCACCCCUCUCCUCCGAAGGUCUGGGACACAAGAUGGGAACGUGGGGGGAACGGAAGCGGCUGAGGGGUUUGGGGGGUUCCCCACACGGUCCGCCAACCGCUCUGUGCUUCCACGGCCCGGUCCAAGUGAAGGUUUCUCUGAAAGGAGACGCCGGGGCCAGAGGGGCCCGGGCCUGGGUGGACCCCACUAGGAGGCAGGAGCCUGCAGCCUCCCAGGAGGCCCGGCGUGGACGCAGCUGGAAACCCGCUCCUCCCCGGGACGCAGCCAGGCAGGCCUCGGGCCCGGAGGCAGAACGCGGCCCCGGCCAGGCUGCCCCUCGGCUGCAGAGGAAAGAGGACCCGGGAGGGGAAAGCAGUCGUUCCCAAGGUCUGCUGAACGUCCCCCACGACGCCCGAGAGAUGCUUCGAGCCGGCGGCAGGUGCGCUCCUCUGCACCUGGACGGCUGUUGCUGCUCCGGCCUGGGACCGUCUGCUCCCGGACCCGGCGGUCUCUCCCCACGAGCAAGUGGAGAAGGGCCCCCUCGGCCGUGCCAGCCUCCCCUCAGCUCCCUCUGCAGGGACACGUGAUGGUGCCAGGGCAAGGAGGCUGGCGGGGACCCAGCACAGCCCCACUGUCGGACGCUGGGACACGUCCCUGCGGGGAGAGGCGCCCCGGGUCUGCGUGGACACGUGCCAUUUGCAAGGAUGCCCGGAUUCCUGAGACAUUCACACUCAAGCCCGUGUUUCCCAUAGGAUGAGUUAGGUACACGGAGACCGUGUCACAGAAGCAACCUCAGCUCAAAGCAUCGCACACGGGUCACCCUUCCGUGGGGUCUCUGUGGUGUCAAGGGCUGUUUGUACGAUGCCCUGGAGGCUGGCCGCCCCCCGCGGAGCUUGCACUUACCAACAGUUUCUUUGGAUUGGGCUCUGAACAGACCUACAAAGAAAGCCCAAAAACUUGCGCCCUUCUCAUUAGCUCUCUUCUUCCUCUCCUCAGCGAUGGAGCAGAGCACCAUCAUGAUGGCUUCUUCUUGGACGGGUUCCUUGACGAACCUCAAAGGAAGCAUUUCAAAGGGAGAGUGUUAAUGAGCAUCGGACUAUUUCCACCCAAACGCUACUCCUCCUAGUGUCGAGGCCGAGUCUCGCGUGGACGGCAGCAGCUCGGCCGUAUGCAUACAGAGGGCACCCAGCCCUGAGGGCCGUUUCUUGGCUCGGAUGAAGCAGGUGGCACUUAGUUAACAAGCAGAUGGAAUCGGACCGGACAGGUCUUCCUUGCCCUCUGCUUAACCUCUGCUGUAUGACAGGAAGGAGCAAAGCCAGGACGCGCUCCCCCCAGCCACCCGCGGAGGCCUCCUGGCGUCUGCGGCCUUCUGCUGGCUCCCGCAUCCCCGGGGCCUGGAGCCUGGCGGGGGGCAACACAGCCUGGCCUCGAUCCCGGCCCUGGGAUGGGGCAGAGGAAGGCACUGGAUGCGGGGACUGCUCGUUGCCGCCCUGGGCCCCUGAGCACACUCGCCCAGUCCCGCGUGUGAAGUGUAGACACACCAGCUAUAGGCUGGGCUCCCGAGGGUCCGAGGGGAUCGGAGGCGGGCACCUGGCGGGGGUCAGGGUGGCCCUGGAGGAUGUUCUCUCAGCCAUACACGCCUCUGGCUUUUGUAGGAGCAGCUCCUACUGACGCCAGUGGGGCUCUGCAUGUGGGCUGCGAAGGCAGUUCCAAGUGACCCGGGAAGGGCUGCGACCUGAGAGGCGACACAGCCGCGGAAAUGCAGGGGGUUGCACGUCGGGACAGACGGACCUUCGCAACGAUGAGCUUUGAGGAGCUCCCUGAGGGUCCUCCAGCACCAGGCUCUAAGGCGACGGUACCCUCCCGGUCCUGGGAGAGAACCCGGAGCCCUUACCACAAGUCUGCAGGUCUGCAGUGUGGCCACGGGCAGGCUCCAGGGCUUCUGUGCAGUCCUAGGAGCGGUCAGAGUGUCCCGCGCUCUGGCCCCCGCAGUUCCUGAGGUCCCGGGGUCCCCACCGUGCACGGACUCCCUGCCCGCCUUGCCACGUAUAGCCACGAUGCGGGCUGAGCUGCUGCAUUUGCCCUGGAGCUCACCAAGCGCCACCCACAUCCCCCCAACGUGUCUGCUUGACCGGUGGGGUGUGGAGGCCGCGCAGGGUGCUCCAGGGCCUGGAGGAGGUCGGGUGCGCCUGCCCCGCCCUGGCUCCCUGCGUCCCGGACCUGCCAGGACACCCGUGGCGCCCCGGCUCCUUUCCCCCCACUGCAGCCCUGGCGCAGAGUCCAGGCCCAUCCGCCACCCUGGAAGCGAGCCGCCGGGACGGGCGAGCCCCGUGCACACACAGGUCACAGUAAUGCACUAGCGUCCUAACAGCAACCGGACUGCACCUGGCGCGAGUCACCGAGAGAGGAGGGGGCGCGGGGUGUGACUUGGUUUACCCAGUCCCAGGUGCUGCGCAGCUGUGCCAAUAAAAUGAGUUUUGUGUCAAACA
Canis lupus familiaris (dog) is the source of this 3046-nucleotide RNA transcript. It is a transcript of the gene named collagen alpha-1(III) chain-like, with no coding region annotated. The transcript has 2 exons. NCBI's taxonomy places the organism in Eukaryota, Metazoa, Chordata, Mammalia, Carnivora, Canidae. The record is from RefSeq and is a predicted model, not a curated record.